Molecule: ribosomal RNA, 253 nt
Filed under: uncultured bacterium
Lineage: Bacteria
Description: partial 16S ribosomal RNA
Rfam family: Bacterial small subunit ribosomal RNA
Source: RNAcentral
UACGUAGGGCGCAAGCGUUGUCCGGAAUUAUUGGGCGUAAAGAGCUCGUAGGCGGUUUGUCGCGUCUGCUGUGAAAGCCCCGGGCUCAACCCGGGAACUGCAUCCGAAACCAUCUUGCUAGAGUAUGAGAGAGGGAAGCGGAAUUCCUGGUGUAGAGGUGAAAUUCGUAGAUAUCAGGAGGAACACCGGCGGCGAAGGCGGCUUCCUGGCUCAUUACUGACGUUCAGGUACGAAAGCGUGGGUAGCAAACAGG